GCCGGGGUGGCUCAGCUGGCGGAGCGUCGGACUCAUAAUCCGAAGGUCGCGGGUUCGAAUCCCGCCCCCGGCA
RNAcentral lists this transfer RNA (73 nucleotides) under Thermoplasmata archaeon. Its description in RNAcentral is "tRNA-Met". It matches the Rfam family "tRNA". Rfam says of the family: Transfer RNA (tRNA) molecules are approximately 80 nucleotides in length. Their secondary structure includes four short double-helical elements and three loops (D, anti-codon, and T loops). The record is from RNAcentral. Lineage: Archaea; Methanobacteriati; Thermoplasmatota; Thermoplasmata. RNAcentral also lists the same sequence under 1 other name.